AUACGUAGGUGACAAGCGUUAUCCGGAUUUGCUGGGCGUAAAGGGCGUGUAGGCGGUCUUGCAAGUCAGAAGUGAAAUUCCUGAGCUCAACUCGGGCGCUGCUUCUGAAACUGCAGGACUUGAGUGCUGGAGGGGAUAGCGGAAUUCCUAGUGGAGCGGUAAAAUGCGCAGAUAUUAGGAAGAACACCGGUGGCGAAGGCGGCUAUCUGGACAGUAACUGACGCUGAGGCGCGAAAGCGUGGGGAGCAAACAGGAUUAGAUACCCUGGUAGUCCACGCGGUAAACGAUGAAUGCUAGGUGUUGCGGGUAUCGACCCCUGCAGUGCCGGAGUCAACACAAUAAGCAUUCCGCCUGGGGAGUACGGCCGCAAGGUUGAAACUCAAAUGAAUUGGCGGGG
This 397-nucleotide ribosomal RNA is filed under the name uncultured bacterium. Its description in RNAcentral is "partial 16S ribosomal RNA". It matches the Rfam family "Bacterial small subunit ribosomal RNA", at positions 523 to 918 of the family's 1533-position model. The record is from RNAcentral.